Molecule: long non-coding RNA, 1730 nt
Organism: Siniperca chuatsi (mandarin fish)
Lineage: Eukaryota; Metazoa; Chordata; Actinopteri; Centrarchiformes; Sinipercidae
Exons: 2
Source: RefSeq, a predicted model, not a curated record
CCUUGCCAUGUUCUCAAAGUGCUCGGCACACGGCCUGCAGCCAAAGAAGCUGCGGACAUAGUUUCUCAUCGCUCCCAGCACCUCCUGGGGAUCUGGAGGGGAAUGACGUGAGAGAGAGGGAGAGCGAGAGAGAGAGCAUCGUAAAACUGGAACAGGAUGGUAAUAAGGAGGAUGGAUACUCUGGGCCCACGCUCACUCACACUAGCCCGGGACUCAAUUACACCUGCGUGUCUGGAGGGAGUGUACAGAUGUGGAGGGAGAGCCAUUCAUCCAGCGAUCCCCAGAGCCGGCGGGCAGGCAGGCAUCAGGGUGGGUUGGGAGGGAAUGCAUUCACCUGGGACCAGCACACAUUACAUGCAUGACGGAUGUGAGACGCCCCUGCACGCUUUCUCUCUCACACACACACACACACACACACACACACACACACACACACACACACACACACACACGCACUCUGCUCUCCCAGGAUCAAUCAGACAUUCAGUGAUGAUGGGAGGCCAUCUGUCGCUGUGUGCGGCUGGGGCUUGUUUGGCAGGUGAAGCCAGAAAAGCAAUGGCAUUGUUUUCAUGCAAGAAAUUAAAAAACCUCCCCUCUGUACAGUGAUGGAGAUGAGGGGGGUUGGAAGGGGAGAGAUGGAGGGUGAAUAAAUAAAUCAGCAAUAAAUCAUUUCCUUUUUGCAUUUGUCAACUAAAAAGAGUCCUCUUUGCAUGCCAAGUUAUUGAAACAGCCAAACAAAGAGGCAGAAACAGCAGAUGAAUUUGCAGGGUGAGGAAUGAUCAGCAGCGCUUUAUGAUAGUGAAUAAUGGGAGCGAUUUUGAUGCUCUGAUCCCAUUAAGAGGCCAGAUGUUUAAAAGUAUUCUCAUGAAUAGGGUUCAGAUAAUGAGCACACGACGAAGGUUUUAAGCAGAAAGCAAAGUCAUCGCGUGUGGAACAAUAGGAGCCAAAAGGGAAAUAAACAUGGUGUUUGUGUUUUUCAGAUGAAGCUAAAUGGAAAUUACUGUAAAAAGUUUGUGAUGUUGUUGAAAUAUAUACAAAAAUAGCUCAUGUUCACCUCACACCUUCAUUUAACAUCCACCCACUCAAUAUAAAUGAGAACUGUUUGAUUCACAGGUGCAUCCUGCAUGUCUGUCUAUAUUUCAAAUGUUCCUAAUAAGGAUGGAGAAAUAUUAUUUCUUAAACCUACAUCAGGUCCUUUCUUUAGGUUAAUAAUAAUGUUGAAAAUCUUGUAGUUAAAGUUUUGUGUGGAAUUUGUAAAUUCAGUCUGUUGCACUGACUUCAGACAAUAAACAAUGCCGACUGGUGGUUGCAGACCAUACUUGAUGAAAAACAGAUAACAACCUGCAAUUCUGGACGUUCUUAAGUGAAGUUGAAUGCAUUGUUACAUCCUGCAGGAGGUGGCACUUCUUACUGUUGAACCAUGGUUAUUAUUAGAGUUUGGCUCAUCCACAAUCUGGCCUCCUGUAUUUGCAUAGUAGGUUUGUCAUUUUAAGGAAGUGGACAAUAAAACCUUCAGAGAGCAAGUCUGCACUAACUUCUCCUGCACUCCUCAUUAGUGGCACACUGACAAAGAACGGGGGAAAACACUAUAUAAAUUCAAGUUCUCUCUUGCCACUUGCAAAUAUUAUUUUGGACAUGCACGUAGCUGAACCCUUUGCUAAAUUGUCCUUAACCUGCCUUUUUAUUGUUGCGUUUAAAAACACAGAAUGCAAUAAAGUCCUACACACCCA